GAUGAACGCUGGCGGCGUGCCUAAUACAUGCAAGUCGAGCGAACGGACGAGAAGCUUGCUUCUCUGAUGUUAGCGGCGGACGGGUGAGUAACACGUGGAUAACCUACCUAUAAGACUGGGAUAACUUCGGGAAACCGGAGCUAAUACCGGAUAAUAUUUUGAACCGCAUGGUUCAAAAGUGAAAGACGGUCUUGCUGUCACUUAUAGAUGGAUCCGCGCUGCAUUAGCUAGUUGGUAAGGUAACGGCUUACCAAGGCAACGAUGCAUAGCCGACCUGAGAGGGACGUCGGCAAAGGUGGAGGUGAGAGCCGGACGGGACUAGUGCAGGAGGGAACAGGAGGGAAUGUGACGAGAGGGGCUAAGGUGUGAAAGACUAUUGCAGGAGGAGUGAACAUGGGUUUAGGAUGGGGAAAAGCUGUUGGUAGGGAAGAAGAAAAGAGAAAGGAAGAGUGCGGAGAAGGACGGGGCGUAAACAGAAAGACACGGAUAGAUUGGAG
This 497-nucleotide ribosomal RNA is filed under the name uncultured bacterium. RNAcentral describes it as "partial 16S ribosomal RNA". The stretch from base 20 to 341 matches the Rfam family "Bacterial small subunit ribosomal RNA", at positions 47 to 358 of the family's 1533-position model. The record is from RNAcentral.